RNAcentral lists this unclassified non-coding RNA (432 nucleotides) under Hevea brasiliensis (rubber tree). Lineage: Eukaryota; Viridiplantae; Streptophyta; Magnoliopsida; Malpighiales; Euphorbiaceae. The record is from RNAcentral.
CUGUUGCUCUACCAAGCAAAACCUGCACAGUCGAUAUGUAACUUCAGAAUUAAGCACAAAAAGAAAAGAAAGGGAAAAGGGGAAAGGGGCAGAGAGGAGGGUGGGGGGAGAAGAAAAGAAAAGGGCAUCAUAUUCAAGUUGCAUAGGUGUCAAAUAGGACUUGCCUAAUGCCUAUUAUUGCAAAUAUUCAAAUAGUUUAUUUUUAAAAUUUAGGUGGGCCUCCAAAUAGAUAAUUUAGAUGAGCAGUUAAUCCAAAUAUCAGUCAUGCUCCACUUAUGGCUUUCCAGGUGGAGAUAAUUAUUUGGAAGGGAAACAUUUUGAGAGGAAUUAAAAGAUUAUGAUUCCAUACAGCCAACAAAAAAAAAAAAAGGUCAAGCAAUCAAACAAGUUAAUUUCUUUCAGAUACCUCAAGUUAAUUUCUUUCAGAUACCU